Molecule: non-coding RNA, 26 nt
Filed under: Homo sapiens (human)
Lineage: Eukaryota; Metazoa; Chordata; Mammalia; Primates; Hominidae
Source: RNAcentral
UGGGUGUCUGAAUCUUUAAUAAACCA